RNAcentral lists this long non-coding RNA (1794 nucleotides) under Canis lupus familiaris (dog). RNAcentral describes it as "lncRNA (ENSCAFG00040018638.1)". The record is from RNAcentral. Lineage: Eukaryota; Metazoa; Chordata; Mammalia; Carnivora; Canidae.
GCCUCAGCAUCCAGGUGCCAGAAACCAAGGAGAAAGACGUCUGAUUUCAGGGGCUCAAAUGGACAAAAAGGGAUCUUCAGCCACAGGAUGACAACCCUUUAGAAAUCACAGAAACCUCAGAUCACAUCUCACCCCUCUGCUGGAUGGAGGAGGAGUAGAGCUCCCAGUGGGUCACCUGCCAGGGGGCCGCUCCACCGGCUGGGCACAGGGCAGGACUGACCCCAGCCCUUCUUCCCGGGGCCUUUUCGGUGUGGCCACAUCCUCCAGAGUCAGGAGCUUAGUUUUUUUAUCCCCUCAGAGUCUCAAAUCGUGUGGCACGAUGAGAUCUUGAGUGACGCUAACUUUGUAAACACAGAGGAAGGGCAAGGGCAAAAGACCGGCCACAGUCUCUGCCCACCUCUGGGUGAGUGGCAGCAGCCCUGUGGCCAUGGGGGACAAGUUCAGCCGAGAGUCCAAAGGAGAGGCUGUGUAACUUCUGUGCAGAAUCGGCUCAGCCCUGCUGAGGUGCAGAGGUGCAGGCCACCCCAUGCAACUCCUGUCCACCGGCCUUAAGCUCGCAUCCUUGUUCAAACGUCUGCUCUCCUGGCUUGCCGGGUAGCCUGACAGUGACAGAUUAUUCAUCUGGUACUGAACGGGUCACCCAACAGCCCUGGGUCCAUUUUCCUUCAUUGAUGGAAGCAACGGCCCAGAGAAAGGACCUCACGCUGUACUUUAACCCUGUGCCAAGGGCAAGGGACAGAGUCGGUUUCAAGGGGAUAGCACCAUCCAUUUCGGUGGUGUGGACCAACAUUCCAGAAUUCAGAUAUGCCACCCCCCAGCAAACUGCGUCCCUUCAAACUCCACAGCCUCUCCCCCGGAGAUCGUGUCCAGCACCGCCAGGCUUCCAGCACCUUGAUGGAGAAAAUCAAAGCAAAGCAAAAGAAAAUUGCUGCUCUGCAGUGAGCCCGCAGGAGUCCUGACGGCUUGGCGGUUACUGUGAGCCGCCUGGCCGCAGAGGAGGCUGCGAGAAGGGUUUGCGUCAAAGCGACCUGCCCCCAGUGGUCCUGAAACAGGGACAUUACACCGACCCGCCCAGCCCCCAGCCCCUCCGGGAGCCAACAGGAACACGGCUCUCUCCCUUCAGGACCGGAAUAAUGGAAGUGCCCUUUUGUCUGACGCAUCUCAAGGCUUCAGAUUUGAAAUUGUGCUUUGAGGUGAAAUUCUGAACCCAACCUGAAGUCGCAGUAGGGACCCCUCCCCAUUUGCAAAAUAAAAACACCCCUGCUCCACAAGUGUUCUUUCUGCUCGAGCCCUGGCUCUCUGGAAAUCUGUGGAUUACUUAAAUAACAUUUUCUGCCUUCCAGUUUUGAGGUUUUUCAGAAACACGAUUUCCCCAAAGGGCCAGGUGGCUAAAGAAGAAAGGCGUUUCAUUUUUUAUCGGUCACGAAAUAAAUAAAAUAUCUUUCCAAAGUUGUUACUUUUAAAUUGGACUGGAUUUUUCUUUUUCUUUCGGUUGAACAAGUUGAAGAAAAUAAUGUCAUCUCUUGGCUACCGACCACUAAGAUGAUUCUGUUUUAUCUGGCAAUUUAUAUGCAGAGUGUGAUGUAUGGUUUAACCUUCCUAAUUGGGGGACACACUGUCUGAAUUAGUGACAAGUCUGAAUUAUGGUGCUUUUAAGAAAAAAAAUAUUCCAUUUGUGUACUUUCAAGUCCAUGAAACCAUUAGAACUGGUCUUCCGAAGUAGUGUCCAGUGAAGUCUCCCUGCGAAUUUUCUUGAAGCAAGGAAAAGAAGAGCUUGUCAGCUUACAUGCCAGG